This is a long non-coding RNA of Juglans microcarpa x Juglans regia, 196 nucleotides long. RefSeq lists it as uncharacterized. The record is from RefSeq and is a predicted model, not a curated record. The transcript has 2 exons. NCBI's taxonomy places the organism in Eukaryota, Viridiplantae, Streptophyta, Magnoliopsida, Fagales, Juglandaceae.
ACAUAUAAUGCACCCUUGUUGAUAUUAAGUUCUCCUGUUAGAAAAAUGAUAAUUCCGCCUUUUAGUAUUUUAACUAGAAAUCAUGCCAAGAAUUGCCUGUGUAUCGUGUCGGCGAUGUUCAUGUAAACAAACGAUUAUUUUCAUUUUCUUAGGGUAAUUGGUUUUUCCAACAAACUUGUACAAAAUUAAACAUAUU